Molecule: ribosomal RNA, 114 nt
Filed under: uncultured bacterium
Lineage: Bacteria
Description: partial 16S ribosomal RNA
Rfam family: Bacterial small subunit ribosomal RNA
Source: RNAcentral
CGUUCCCGGGCCUUGUACACACCGCCCGUCACACCACGAGAGUUUGUAACACCCGAAGUCGGUGAGGUAACCUUUUGGAGCCAGCCGCCGAAGGUGGGACAGGUGAUUGGGGUG